AGUGAAUGAUUUUAUAUUUCGCGUAAAAUUAAAACAAAAUUUUAGAAAAUUUCUGCGGAAAAUUACAUUAUCACCUAAACAAAAUGAUAAUUGUGUACUUGAUUUGUUACUCGCAUUUCAAUGCACAGAAAAUCGCAUAUAUAUAACACUUUGAUCAAAAAGUAAGAUCAAUAUUCAAGUUAUAUUGCGCAGGUAUAUCCAAUAUCAGAUAUAUUUCUUUUCUACACUGGUAGCACUGCGAUGGACAUCUAUACGUCAAAUAUUUCUCACUAGCAAGAGGUUAAAUUUGAGAAAAGUUCCUUCUUUAUUGAAAACUUACUAAAAUCACUUUUUCGAAUCAUGUUAUACUUUGGUAAAAAAUUGAAAAAAGUCUUCUCUAAGGAAAGAGGAAAAGAGUCUUCUCUUGCGAUCUAUGGUGAAUUUUAACCUUGAAUAAAAUUAGGGUGUAAAAACAAAUUUGUAUUUAAUUAGCAAAGACACGUACCAUCUAUAGAGUUCUACAAAGACCUCAACGUAACUCGAUGAAAUAGUCAGUAAAGCUUUCGUUUACACUGUGCAUACAAAUGAGUUUUUUAAGGAUUGUCUUUGCAAUUUUGAAGCUUUAUUCAGAGAAAUUGGUAAAAAAGUAUUUUAUUUUGAAGUAAUUUUCAUCAUUAGCUAUGACUUUUCCCUAUCUUUCAGGCAAUUUUGCUAUUCUAGCUUAAAAGACGUAUCGGGUAUCGUCAUAAGACUCGCAGCCCUGUUCGAAUAAACAAUAAGUCAUCUAUUGAAACCUUUGUUAAUCAAUAAGAAUGACAUCUGCUGGCAAUAGCAGGAAGGGUUGGAACAAACUUUAAAACACCACACCCAGCUGACCCUCUCCCAUGUGGUCAUGAAGAAUAUUCAACCUUAUCGUCGAUUUUAUUCGUCCGCAGAGUCUCUUUAAUGGUUAUUUGUAGGAGAUGCCGAACUAUUCUUUGAAUCAAUCAGAAGAAGUAAAUUGUUUCUGGCACAAAACUCGAUCUAUUUAAAGCCCUAAGAAACAACGUUGUGCACACUUCAAUGCAAUAAGUUAUAUAAGUGCGUAUUGCUUAAAGACAGACCAUACUUUCAAAUGAAGAAGUCACAAUUUUAUUCUAUAACCUAACUACAUAAAUUACAAUCUUUUCCACCUAGCCGGACCGAACUAAUUUGUACUCUUAACACUUGGAAUGUGCAACAAAUUGAAAGAAUUUAAAACUCUCCAAUAUGAAGGUUCAAGAAAGCAGAAGAAUAUCAUGAAGCCUAACAGUACUAACUGCAAUCUUUUCGAUCGGAUUGGACGGAACUAAGUUGUACUCUGAAUAUAGUUGGGUUUGGAAUGCGGAAGGUACAACAAAUCGAAAGAAUUAAAGCUCGCCUAUGCGCAGUUUUAAGAAAACGGAAGAGCAUUUUUCCUCGUGGCAGCCAAGGUAACGGUGUUAGAAACUGUCAAAAGUUGAGCGGGAAUAGGAAACUAAAACUUGAUGCCUACUUUUCAAGAAGUAAUUUUUCCAUAGUCGACUGCCAUAAACACAUUCAACUUCAGAGACUUACAUUAGAAGAUGUUAUCGAACAAACUCUUAGUUCACUUUUUUUUCAAAUCAUUUAUUAUAGACAUUUUCCUACAAAAUCCAUCCAAGCAUUAACCAAAACAUUUGAAAUUUUCUUUAUCCUCCAAAUUCCUCCUUCAGUAUUCAGUAUAGCAUUGGUAAAUAUCUUCGCUAAUUGAUUUCGAAAUUAUUCUCAGACCCUUAAAUAAGAUAUUGUACAAAUAAUUCACACAUUCAUGUUAAAUCACAAAUGAUUGUAAAAGCUAUGCCGAUCGGCUCUGUAGAAAAAAAAAAAAAGAAAGAAAAAAAGUAAUUUGCCAGAAGAGAAAUAUUUCGUAAUUUGUAUGUGUGAUCGUUGAUGAGCAUUAAAGACCAAGCAGUGCAUUAUUCUCUCGCUAAGUUUGUAUAACGAAAUGCAUUUAUUUAAAGCCGUCAUAGCGGAAGUAGCGUUUAUUGCGCUAAUGGCUACAGGAUUUUCCAUAUAUGCAUGAGUGUAAUAUUUAUUUAGAUCAUUAAAAAAACAAUUUAAAAAAAAAAAAAAAAGUGUACAACGAUUAAAGUCCAUAGUUAACAUAUGGCUUUUCAUUGCUUUCAAAUCAGGCAUUGAUGAAGUAAAUCCAUCGAUCGACCAACCAUUCAUACUUGCAUAUGUAUGCACAUAUAUGUAUGUAUGUAAUUUUGUGUUUGCAUUUGCAGGCGACCUUGAAUAUGAUGUUUUCAUUUUAGCCUACAUGCACUAACCAAACGAUGUUGUUUUUUUGCCAUUCUUGUGGUUGCUGUUUAAAGAUAAAAAAAAAAAAAA
This is a long non-coding RNA of Glossina fuscipes, 2352 nucleotides long. RefSeq lists it as uncharacterized. NCBI's taxonomy places the organism in Eukaryota, Metazoa, Arthropoda, Insecta, Diptera, Glossinidae. The record is from RefSeq and is a predicted model, not a curated record. The transcript has 2 exons.